Pelobates cultripes (western spadefoot toad) is the source of this 265-nucleotide non-coding RNA. The record is from the annotation of a GenBank genome assembly. NCBI's taxonomy places the organism in Eukaryota, Metazoa, Chordata, Amphibia, Anura, Pelobatidae.
CUCCCAAUCUGGUUAUUUUGACUUCUAUAUUUCCAGUUUGUUGUGGACCUCUAGCAUGUAAGCUCAUUUGAGCAAGGCCCUCGACACCCUCUGUUCCUGUGCGUCCAACUCAUCUGGUUACAAAUACAUGUCUGUUAGUCCACCUAUUGUACAGCGCUGCGGAAUAUGUUGGCGCUUUAUUACCAAUAAUAAUAAUCACAAUAAUAAUAAUAGCCCAUCAUAAAUAUUUUAACAAUGCAGGAAAUCUUGUCACUUUAUAAAUAAG